GAUUCCUACGGGACGCAGCAGUGAGGAAUAUUGGUCAAUGGGCGCGAGCCUGAACCAGCCAAGUCGCGUGAGGGAGGACGGCCCUACGGGUUGUAAACCUCUUUUGCCGGGGAGCAACGGGCGUCACGUGUGGCGCCACUGAGAGUACCCGGAGAAAAAGCAUCGGCUAACUCCGCGCCAGCAGCCGCGGUAAUACGUAGGUGGCAAGCGUUGUCCGGAUUUACUGGGUGUAAAGGGCGUGUAGCCGGGCUGACAAGUCAGAUGUGAAAUCCGGGGGCUCAACCCCCGAACUGCAUUUGAAAAUG
RNAcentral lists this ribosomal RNA (305 nucleotides) under uncultured bacterium. Its description in RNAcentral is "bacterial SSU rRNA". It matches the Rfam family "Bacterial small subunit ribosomal RNA", at positions 334 to 635 of the family's 1533-position model. The record is from RNAcentral.